This 378-nucleotide ribosomal RNA is filed under the name uncultured bacterium. RNAcentral describes it as "bacterial SSU rRNA". It matches the Rfam family "Bacterial small subunit ribosomal RNA", at positions 521 to 896 of the family's 1533-position model. The record is from RNAcentral.
UAAUACGUAGGGUGCGAGCGUUAAUCGGAAUUACUGGGCGUAAAGCGUGCGCAGGCGGUCUUUUAAGACAGGUGUGAAAGCCCCGAGCUUAACUUGGGAAUUGCGCUUGUGACUGGAAGGCUCGGAGUGCGGAAGAGGGAGCUGGAAUUCCUGGUGUAGCAGUGAAAUGCGUAGAGAUCAGGAGGAACACCGAUGGCGAAGGCAGGCUCCUGGGCCAGCACUGACGCUCAUGCACGAAAGCGUGGGGAGCAAACAGGAUUAGAUACCCUGGUAGUCCACGCCCUAAACGAUGUCGACUAGUUGUUGGGGAAGGAGACUUCCUUAGUAACGAAGCUAACGCGCGAAGUCGACCGCCUGGGGAGUACGGCCGCAAGGUUA